This 347-nucleotide ribosomal RNA is filed under the name Theileria cf. equi. Its description in RNAcentral is "SSU rRNA". It matches the Rfam family "Eukaryotic small subunit ribosomal RNA", at positions 532 to 912 of the family's 1831-position model. The record is from RNAcentral. Lineage: Eukaryota; Apicomplexa; Aconoidasida; Piroplasmida; Theileriidae.
UCUUCCAGAGUAUCAAUUGGAGGGCAAGUCUGGUGCCAGCAGCCGCGGUAAUUCCAGCUCCAAUAGCGUAUAUUAAACUUGUUGCAGUUAAAAAGCUCGUAGUUGAAUUUCUGCUGUAUCGUUUUCCUCUGCUUGACAGUUGGAUUUCGUUAUGGCUUAGUUGGGUUACAGCUCUUGUUACCCAACGUUUACUUUGAGAAAAUUAGAGUGCUUCAAGCAGGCUUUUGCCUUGAAUACUUUAGCAUGGAAUAAUGGAGUAGGACUUUGGUUCUAUUUUGUUGGUUUUAGGAGCCAGAGUAAUGGUUAAUAGGAACAGUUGGGGGCAUUCGUAUUUGACUGUCAGAGGU